RNAcentral lists this ribosomal RNA (253 nucleotides) under uncultured bacterium. Its description in RNAcentral is "partial 16S ribosomal RNA". It matches the Rfam family "Bacterial small subunit ribosomal RNA", at positions 524 to 776 of the family's 1533-position model. The record is from RNAcentral.
UACGUAGGGUGCAAGCGUUGUCCGGAAUUAUUGGGCGUAAAGGGCUCGUAGGCGGUCCAUCGCGUCGGGAGUGAAAAGCUGGGGCUUAACCCCAGUCCUGCUUCCGAUACGGGUGGACUAGAGGUAGGUAGGGGAGAACGGAAUUCCUGGUGUAGCGGUGAAAUGCGCAGAUACCAGGAGGAACACCGGUGGCGAAGGCGGUUCUCUGGGCCUUACCUGACGCUGAGGAGCGAAAGCAUGGGGAGCAAACAGG